Long non-coding RNA from Anopheles funestus (African malaria mosquito), 1107 nucleotides. RefSeq lists it as uncharacterized. NCBI's taxonomy places the organism in Eukaryota, Metazoa, Arthropoda, Insecta, Diptera, Culicidae. The transcript has 2 exons. The record is from RefSeq and is a predicted model, not a curated record.
ACGGAUGGAGUUCGUCCGUGGGCAUUGUAAACACAUGUUCUUCUCAUCCUUCCGUCGUUCACCUCGUGUUCUUCUGUCCCUGUUUCAACUGUUUGCACUAUGCCGUCUCUGUAGAGCCUCCAGUUUUGUUCUAAGGCGAGAGAGAAAGAAGGAGAGAGCUACGGUACAGCGCAUUAUUGCGAGCGAGAAAAUCCAUCGCAGCAUGCUGCUAACUAAACAACCAACAUCGCCUGUCGUAACCAGGGUGUGUAGCGAAAGGGAAAUAAAAACCCAUUUGUGUAUGUCAAAGAUUAAAAGCUAUCAUUUGAUCGCACACAAACCCUCCGUCGUUUGCGAGUGUGUGAGAAAACGGACGACACACACCGAGUCGAUUUUUUAUAUCAGUUCUCCUUUUCAAGAAGCUGCCAGGGAGGUGGUUGCUCCAAGUAAAUCGUUUCAUUAAUGCGUUUAGAACAGUUCAGUAAUCCAGCUUAACAACGGAAUCUAGAAGAAACAUCUCAUCAAACAACAACAGAACGGCAUGACUGGUUCGAUUUUGGUUUAGCACUAGCGGGCCCUCGAAUGCAUUCCUUUUUUGUUCAGGUAAACGCAUGCAUAUAUCAAAUUCUAAUCGGCGCAAAAAACAGACAGCAGACACGAGAUACAUACACGUACGCAUAACGAAAUUUGCUAGCCUGUGUGCUUCGCAACUGGAAAAGGACAAGCAUCCUAACAUAAACAUAGCAUAACAUACAAAUCCAAAAGUAUGCAAUACAAGCCGGGUCCACUGCGCGAUAAUAGAUUCCCCGUCUCAGCCUUCAAAUGUUCUCAGUCAGCUUCCUUCCACAGAUGGUACAGACAUGGGGUAGGGUACACACCGGUGAAACAGACAGAAUGCGUCAAGCCAUUGCUCGCUAUCACCUGCGACGGAUGGACCCAUUUUUUUUGGGACGCAGGUGGCUUUCCAGACCGUGUGCGCCGAUCGUUAUUCUUGAAUUUAUCUCAAUCAUUGCAUGAAAUGGGUUGGUCGAGAAAUGGAACAAAAUGUCGGCCGAACCCUGGGUCUGGGGAGAUCGUUAAAUUAACGUACCGUGUAUUAUUAAAAAAUAAAUCUUCAUGAAUCGGUUA